UACGAACUGUGCAAACGUUAUUCGGAAUCACUGGGCUUAAAGGGUGCGUAGGAGGUCAGGCAAGUCAGUGGUGAAAUCCCCGAGCUUAACUUGGGAACUGCCGUUGAUACUAUCUGUCUUGAAUACCGUGGAGGUGAGCGGAAUAUGUCAUGUAGCGGUGAAAUGCUUAGAUAUGACAUAGAACACCAAUGGCGAAGGCAGCUCGCUGCACGAAUAUUGACUCUGAGGCACGAAAGCGUGGGGAUCAAACAGG
This 253-nucleotide ribosomal RNA is filed under the name uncultured bacterium. RNAcentral describes it as "partial 16S ribosomal RNA". It matches the Rfam family "Bacterial small subunit ribosomal RNA", at positions 524 to 776 of the family's 1533-position model. The record is from RNAcentral.